GUCAAAGGCCGGACCGCCAAGGCCAAGUGACGCCUUAAAGAGCUGGCCGGACUGCUACUGCCUGCUUUUUAUCUCUGGAACUCCAAAGGUGCCUCCAGCGCCCAGGACUGCGCGGUUUCUGAGGCGGCUGCAUCGCGGGAGUUGGCACAUCGCGAGAUUUCAGGAGCCGCCAGCCCGCGUCCGGGCAGGUGGGGAUGACGGUUAUUCAGGAGAGCCCAGCCCUGCGGGCGCUGCAUUCUGGGAUUCAAAUGGAAGACAGAGCAAGGAUGAGGAGCACCUAGAUGAAUGCCACUCCUACAUGAGAAUUUGGAUAGUCCUGUACAAAAGAUGUGUUGACGCUGGUUUUGGAAAGGAAACAUGGAAACUGUUAAUAGCUCCUGAGACCAAGAACCCAGAGCUCCUCAGAAGACAAGAGUGAAAAGUUACAUUCUUUCCUUUUGGAGUUCCUUCAGGGUAGAAAGUGUAAUCAAUAGCUCAGUAAAUUAUCCUGUGACAAUUGAAGAGUACCUAAAGCUGAGUAAGUAGAAUAAGCAAGAUUAAUUUCCCUCUCAUUGCUGUCAGCAAACCUCCCACCCACUAUGAAGCACUGAUAAGCUUCCAUCGCGAUCAAGAAGGGUUACUUGCUGCCACCUCCUUUUGGACACUACACUUAAUAGAUGGUCCAUGAGUUACAAACUUUUUUACUACUUCAUCUGGUAUUUCUCUGCAUGGAAGAAUAUGAGAUCAAGGUAAGAAGACUUGUUGUGUAGACCCCAUUCAGUAACUCAACCUCUUUAAGCCACCAUAUCUCCCUUUGAUGGAAGUCCUCAAUAAGGUCAUGGGUACACAGAAAACACCACAAAAUGAAAGUUACAUGCUCUGAGUUCCCUUCUAUUGGCUUUUCUACUAAUUGGAUGACUCAUUCUCUAAUGUGGAAGCAUGAGAACCAAAUGUCAGAGGGGUGUGCUGUAUCACAUAUAUUUGUUUCUUUGUUUGUGACAGGAAGAGUUAGACAGUGAGAGAGACAGAGAGAAAGGUCUUCCUUCCGUUGCUUCACCCCCCCAAAUGGCUGCUGUGGCCGGCACACAGUGCUGAUCUGAAGCCAGGAGCCGGGUGCUUCCUCCUGGUCUCCCAUGCGGGUGCAGGGCCCAAGCACUUGGGCCAUCCUCAACUGCCUUCCCAUCCACAGCAGAGAGCUGGACUGGAAGAAGAGCAACCGGGACAGAACCAGUGCCCCAACUGGGACUAGAACCCAGGGUGCCAGCACCGAAGGUAGAGGAUUAGCCUAGUGAGCCAUGGCGCCGACCCAGUAUAUCACAUAUAUUUGUAUGAUCAGAAAUUAAAUUUAAUUAAUUAGAAAUUAAAUGUAAAGAUUAGAAAUUAAAGGAAUAAAUGACAGUCAAAUAAAAGUUUUACUUUUAAA
RNAcentral lists this long non-coding RNA (1402 nucleotides) under Oryctolagus cuniculus (rabbit). RNAcentral's name for it is "lncRNA (ENSOCUG00000037363.1)". The record is from RNAcentral. Lineage: Eukaryota; Metazoa; Chordata; Mammalia; Lagomorpha; Leporidae.